This 440-nucleotide ribosomal RNA is filed under the name uncultured bacterium. Its description in RNAcentral is "partial 16S ribosomal RNA". It matches the Rfam family "Bacterial small subunit ribosomal RNA", at positions 338 to 795 of the family's 1533-position model. The record is from RNAcentral.
CCUACGGGAGACAGCAGUGGGGAAUAUUGCACAAUGGGGGAAACCCUGAUGCAGCGACGCCGCGUGAAGGCAGAAGUAUUUCGGUAUGUAAACUUCUCUCAGCAGGGAAGAAAAUGACGCUACCUGACUAAGAAGCCCCGGCUAACUACGUGCCAGCAGCCGAUGUAAUACGUAGGGGGAAAGCGUUAUCCGGAUUUACUGGGUGUAAAGGGAGCGUAGGCGGCGAUGCAAGUCAGAAGUGAAAGCCCGUGGCUCAACUCCGGGACUGCUUUUGAAACUGUAUGGCUAGAUUGCAGGAGAGGCAAGUGGAAUUCCUAGUGUAGCGGUGAAAUGCGUAGAUAUUAGGAGGAACACCAGUGGCGAAGGCGGCUUGCUGGACUGUAAAUGACGCUGAGGCUCGAAAGCGUGGGGAGCAAACAGGAUUAGAUACCCCGGUAGUC